RNAcentral lists this ribosomal RNA (1008 nucleotides) under Triticum aestivum (bread wheat). RNAcentral describes it as "partial small subunit ribosomal RNA". The record is from RNAcentral. Lineage: Eukaryota; Viridiplantae; Streptophyta; Magnoliopsida; Poales; Poaceae.
AUGAACCGCAUGAGGAGGAUCGCGGGGAUGGGCAAGAGCAAGAAGGCCCCGUCCGCGGUUCAGAAGGACAAGGACGAGAGCAUAGUUUUCUUCCGGGAGCUGUACAAGCAUGAGGAAGAUACGGAUGUGAACCUCCUGGAGCCGAUCUACUCCGUGGAGUUCGACGCCAUCCAAGGUGGUCAUAUGUCCAAGCCUCCCUCGGGGAAGAGAGAUCUCCUCAUGCCGAUCAUCGAGAAGCACGACUAUGACUGGCCCAAGACCCCUCCGGUUGCACCAAUGUUUCCUUCCCUCAAGAUGGAAGCCAGCUCCUCCGAAACGGUGGUUGCCCCUAAGGUGACACACAUCCCGAUCACGCAACCUGUCAAACCUUCAGCUUCAAGGUUCAUUGGCAAGACUGAGGCGACCAAAACAUCAGCCAAGACUCCGGCAGGUUCUUCGUCAAGCAACUCUGCCAAGAGCCAGCCUUGCACGACCGACAGGAGACCAGCUUCAGCUUACGCUACUCUGCCCAACAGGCAGCAGAAACCAGAUGCCAAAGCCAAUACUGGCACAAGCAGCAACUCAGGCAAGGAACACUCGCACACGUACUACGCAAAUGCAAGCCAGGACAGCAGCAGCAGCAGUGCAAGUACAACCAACACGGUGGAGACGCCAGGAGAAGCCCCUUACACGGCGCCCAAGAAUCUGCUCACGACUGGGUCUAUUUUCGCACGGCGCAGGGCAUCAGCAACGGCAGUGGCGACAGCUCCACCAUUGGGCGUGGACACCAAAGUCGAGAGCGCGAAGGCGAGGAGGCCACCAUCUUCUGCGGCAAGAGCUUCCAAGGAGCUGCAGGUAGAUGCCAGGAAGAAUGCUUUACCAGCCAAGGGCAAGGCUGUGGCCGGCACCGGCAGCGAGCCUGUUUGCAACAGCAGUGGCCGUGCCAGCACCAGCAAGACCGCACCAGCAAAGGGAAUGCGAAGAACAGAUGGCAAGAACGAGCGGAGACCAAAGUUUGCAGACCAGUGA